Non-coding RNA from Pimephales promelas (fathead minnow), 1050 nucleotides. The record is from RefSeq and is a predicted model, not a curated record. Lineage: Eukaryota; Metazoa; Chordata; Actinopteri; Cypriniformes; Leuciscidae.
CGCAUUCAAAGUUGUCCGAUUCAAAGACAGGAGCGCACGCGAGCAGAUGGAAACCAUGGAAACGAGGAAACCUCUUCAACUGACAAACAGCAAAGAACAGCGUCUCUCUGUUUUUCCACUGCUUUCAGGUAAGUUUAGUUAACAAAAUCACACAAAUAAUACAUACAAACGUUCCUAACACCUUUCUUACGUAUAAUUGAUACGCUUCUGUUGAAUAUUUACUUUGUAGAAAAGGUUUUGAGUCUUCGAAAAAGUCCGUUAGCAUCUCAACUGUUUUCAGAAUAGUCUAGAAAAUCAUCAUGAUGUCCUGCUACAGCCCUGUCCCAAGACAACCUCCACGGCUAUGAACUCGACUAAUGAGAUAUCAUUUGACCCUGUGAUUCUUCAGGACCAGAUCUUGAUGCCAUCCACACCCAGUACAUGACAAAGAUGCUGUGACAAAAAGCAGUCAAGCCACUGCAUGUGAUGUGGAAGCCUCUAUGAAGACAUGGCUCCAUAAUCCCUGGGACAGAGAUGGGGCAAGGAAGGGCCAGAACUGCAGAAAUACCUACUGUUGCCCCUGAGGGGAUUGAUUUUUAAUUUUCAAUCCCCUGUUUUCUGUGGUUAUUGCUGUUUUAAACUGUAUUAUCAUUAAUUAUAAUUAUUAUUAAAUAUAAAUAAAUUAUUUGGGGAAAAAACAUGACCCUCGAUUUAUUGCUGCUAACAAGUCCAAUUGUACUGCAUAUAGUAAUAUGGGUGUACCUACUCUGUGUGCUCAAAUUUUGCAACUGCACCCACAGUGUGCCCACAUCCAGCCUGCUAUAAUUUGUGUGGGCCAGCCCAAAGUCAGCCCACACUUUGGGCUGGCCCACGGUAAGUAGAGUGGGCCCCGAUUGGAGCCAGUUGUGGGCCCACAGCAAACCCUUAUAGGGGCCCAUUUGGGGCCAUUGCAGGCAGCCCACUGUGGGCCCACAACUGGCCCCAAUGGGGGCCCACUCUACUUACCGUGGGCCUGCCCAUAGUCAGCCCACACUUUUGGGCUGUCCCACUGGGGCCCCACCUGGGUCCCGA